UUUCCGGUUGAUCCUGCCGGACCUGACUGCUAUCGGAUUGAUACUAAGCCAUGCGAGUCUUUGUAGUAAUACAAGGCAGACGGCUCAGUAACACGUAGUCAACCUACCCUAUGGACAAGAAUAAUCUCGGGAAACUGGGCAUAAUUCUUGAUAGAUCAUAAUGCCUGGAAUGGUUUAUGGUUAAAAUGAUUCGUCGCCAUAGGAUGGGACUGCGGCCUAUCAGCUUGUUGGUGAGGUAAUGGCCCACCAAGGCGAUUACAGGUACGGGCUCUGAGAGGAGAAGCCCGGAGAUGGGUACUGAGACACGGACCCAGGCCCUAUGGGGCGCAGCAGGCGAGAAAACUUUGCAAUGUGCGAAAGCACGACAAGGUUAAUCCGAGUGAUUUCUGCUAAAGAAAUCCUUUGCCAGUCAUAAAACCACUGGUGAAUAAGGGGUGGGCAAGUUUUGGUGUCAGCCGCCGCGGUAAAACCAGCACCUCAAGUGGUCAGGAUGAUUAUUGGGCCUAAAGCAUCCGUAGCCGGCUUUGUUAGUUUUCGGUUAAAUCCAUGUGCUCAACGCAUGGGCUGCCGAAAAUACUGCAUAGCUAGGGAGUGGGAGAGGUAGACGGUACUCAGUAGGAAGGGGUAAAAUCCUUUGAUCUAUUGAUGACCACCUGUGGCGAAGGCGGUCUACCAGAACACGUUCGACGGUGAGGGAUGAAAGCUGGGGGAGCAAACCGGAUUAGAUACCCGGGUAGUCCCAGCUGUAAACGAUGCAGACUCGAUGAUGCAUUGGCAUAAUAGCCAGUGCAGUGUCGCAGGGAAGCCGUUAAGUCUGCCGCCUGGGAAGUACGUACGCAAGUAUGAAACUUAAAGGAAUUGGCGGGGGAGCACCACAAGGGGUGAAGCCUGCGGUUCAAUUGGAGUCAACGCCGGG
Molecule: ribosomal RNA, 916 nt
Filed under: uncultured archaeon
Lineage: Archaea
Description: SSU rRNA
Rfam family: Archaeal small subunit ribosomal RNA
Source: RNAcentral